Molecule: ribosomal RNA, 484 nt
Filed under: uncultured bacterium
Lineage: Bacteria
Description: partial 16S ribosomal RNA
Rfam family: Bacterial small subunit ribosomal RNA
Source: RNAcentral
AUUGAACGCUGGCGGCAGGCCUAACACAUGCAAGUCGAGCGGAUGAAGGGAGCUUGCUCCUGGAUUCAGCGGCGGACGGGUGAGUAAUGCCUAGGAAUCUGCCUGGUAGUGGGGGAUAACGUCCGGAAACGGGCGCUAAUACCGCAUACGUCCUGAGGGAGAAAGUGGGGGAUCUUCGGACCUCACGCUAUCAGAUGAGCCUAGGUCGGAUUAGCUAGUUGGUGGGGUAAAGGCCUACCAAGGCGACGAUCCGUAACUGGUCUGAGAGGAUGAUCAGUCACACUGGAACUGAGACAAGGUCCAGACUCCUACGGAAGGCAGCAGUGGGGAAUAUUGGGCAAUGGGCGAAAGCCUGAUCCAGCAACGCCGCGUGUGUGAAGAAGGUCUUCGGAUUGUAAAGCACUUUAAGUUGGGAGGAAGGGCAGUAAGUUAAUACCUUGCUGUUUUGACGUUACCAACAGAAUAAGCACCGGCUAACUUCGUG